UACGUAGGGUGCGAGCGUUGUCCGGAAUUACUGGGCGUAAAGAGCUUGUAGGCGGUUUGUCGCGUCUUCUGUGAAAACUUGGGGCUCAACCUUAAGCUUGCAGGGGAUACGGGCAGACUAGAGUACUUCAGGGGAGACUGGAAUUCCUGGUGUAGCGGUGAAAUGCGCAGAUAUCAGGAGGAACACCGGUGGCGAAGGCGGGUCUCUGGGAAGUAACUGACGCUGAGAAGCGAAAGCGUGGGUAGCGAACAGG
RNAcentral lists this ribosomal RNA (253 nucleotides) under uncultured bacterium. RNAcentral's name for it is "partial 16S ribosomal RNA". It matches the Rfam family "Bacterial small subunit ribosomal RNA", at positions 524 to 776 of the family's 1533-position model. RNAcentral also lists the same sequence under 1 other name. The record is from RNAcentral.